UCGGAUUGUAGGCUGCAACCCGCCUGCAUGAAGUUGGAAUUGCUAGUAAUCGCGGAUCAGCAUGCCGCGGUGAAUACGUUCCCGGGGAUUGAACACACCGCCCGUCACACCAUGAGAGUCGGGAACACCCAAAGUCCGUAGUCUAACCGCAAGGAGGACGCGGCCUAAGGUGGGUUCGAUAAUUGGGGUGAAGUCGUAACAAGGUAUC
This 208-nucleotide ribosomal RNA is filed under the name uncultured bacterium. Its description in RNAcentral is "partial 16S ribosomal RNA". It matches the Rfam family "Bacterial small subunit ribosomal RNA", at positions 1293 to 1500 of the family's 1533-position model. The record is from RNAcentral.